This 417-nucleotide long non-coding RNA is filed under the name Mytilus galloprovincialis (Mediterranean mussel). The record is from RNAcentral. Lineage: Eukaryota; Metazoa; Mollusca; Bivalvia; Mytilida; Mytilidae.
GUGGGGAUCUGAACUUCUUUGGUAUAUUUAACUAUGUGUUAUAUGAGGGUGUGGGGCAUGAUCUCCAAUGCCAAACCCUUAUAGUUGAAUCGAAAAGGUCUUGUCAUAGCAAUCAAGCAUAAUUUAUGAUUUUAGGUGUUAUAUAAAAUAAAAUAAUUUAUUGUCAAUGGUCAUGGUCAGAGAUAAUCUUCUAUGGUAAACAACACAUCGUCUUGAGAUGUCGCCCCAUUGGCAAAUAUAAAAAAUACAUAUAAGGUAAAAGUUAUAUACUGGACAUGGAAAUCAAAAAUAAAAUAAUCCUGUAUUUUGAUAUAGAGGUCAAAGGUCAAACAAAGUCACAUGAAGGUCACGAUGAUAUGCAACAUUUCGUCCUAAAGUACUAUACGUUCAGGCCAAAUAUCUUGGUUAAAGAUAAGC